Molecule: non-coding RNA, 427 nt
Organism: Sturnus vulgaris (Common starling)
Lineage: Eukaryota; Metazoa; Chordata; Aves; Passeriformes; Sturnidae
Source: RefSeq, a predicted model, not a curated record
UUUCACACAGCUUCUGAGAGUUUUCUACCUUUUCUAUUUCCCACAACCAGUACCACUGAUACAAUGUGAAUUACAGUCAGCAGUUCUGACUACAAAGACAAAAAACAGUCUCCCAGCCAAAAUCACAGGAACGAGAAUGAGAUUUAUUGGCUUCCAGAAAAACACCUGGUUUGCAUGGAAGAGAUUGCUCCUUUAUGUAAAAGAGUAACACCUGUGAAUGUGUCAGAAGUAGAUCUACCACAUACUGCGCUGCCUGGAGAUGAAGAAAAAUGCAUUAAAUUCUGCUGAAAAUGUCCUGAUGAUGCAGAAAGACAAAUUCAAACUGCUAAAGGGAUCACUAUUGAAGGUCUCCAGUGCACUUGCUUUUCCUGGGUUUGGGUUGGUUUUGAACAUUUAAAAAGCUUCAUAUGCACGAAACUGGAGAAGC